UAGUUAGGGAGGCGAAUAGGGGAAUUUUCGGCAAUACUCGAGCGUGGCAGUUUAAGAUAUGAGAGAUACCUUAGAGCUAAUAGAACAACCUUGUAAAGUAUUUAGCUCUAUAUGUAGUGACGCGCGCCUAGGAUAGACGAUCAGAUUAGUAAAAAAAAAUGGAUAGUCUGAAAUACUCGAGCGCGUCAGAUUAAGAUAUUGGGGGUUGAUUUUAGUGGUUAAAGACUAAAUUUAACUAAUCUGACGAUAAGUCCUUGACGCCGCCGAGUUAUAAGGUCGCGAACUUGUAAAAAAAAAACGUUAAUCCGGCAUUCUCGAGCGCGAUUUUUUUUUUUUAUUAUUUUGAAGAAUAUAAUCUAAAACUUACUAAAAAUACAAAAUCUGCCGGUUUCCGCAUGACCGGAAGGGUGGAGGAGCCAUUUCGUCUUCCUAAGAACGCGUUGCGGCAUAUAAGUCGCGAACGAUACAUUUUACAAAAAAAAAGUUUAAAUAAACAAAAAAGGUAAUUUUAUUUUACACAAAAAAGGUAUCUUUACAUUUUUGUCCAAAGUUAAAACUUUUUGACUUGAAGCAUCAUAAAAUCGGUCAGAUUAAGAGAACCCACCAACAUUUUUGUCAGAUUAAAAAAAUAUGCUUUCAGGAUACCGAGAUAAACCUCCCCUAUGAAAAUCUGACGCGCUCGAGUAUUUCAAAAAAACUUUUUUUUUUGCAUUUUCAAAAAUUCAUCGUAACUUAUCGUCACGCCGAAAUCGUCAGUUUUUUUAAACGAAGCUUCCUUGGGGCCUACUUAACACCCCUUCCGAAAAUCUGACGCGCUCGAGUAAUUUUUUUUUUUGCAUUUUUGACUACUUUAUAUGCCUACCCCCACCACGCAAACCGGCAGAUUAGUAUACCGUUGUUAUCAGAGGCACUCGGGGCAUACGUAGUAUGAAUAUCUGACGCGCUCGAGAAUGCCCAAGUAACUGUUUUUUUUUACAUUUUUGAAAAACCGUACACGCCAAACCCACCGCUAAAAUGGUUUUUGCCAUACGAGCUUUUCUUUUCGAAAUUAUUUUAUCUUUCGAUUUUGAUAGGUCUCGACGGCGCCGUUGAAUUACGCCAUUUAGCUACCUCGCCUCCCUAACUACUAGUACUUAUGUCCAUGCACAGUUAAAAUCAUAUAUUUUCAAUUAUUUUGUAAAUGACUACAGUUAUGACUAUGAUUAUUAGAAACCAAUUAUAGUACGUUUAAUAUUCUUUCUAAUAGUAUCCAUCACCAAUUUAUCAGUAAAAUAGAACCUAAGAAAUAAUGAACAGUUGAGGUCGAUCGCCCGCCAUUUACGUGAUGGUGCGUAGUGACCCAUGCUGAACAAAAUUCAUUAUUACUUGGUUAUAUAAUAUCAUAUACCAAUAAAACUUAUGUUUUUGGAAAGCUAAUGAAAUUUCUCGUAUAUUUUGUAAUAACAUUAAUUGCGGUAAAGUUAUAAUUUAUUGAGUUAGACGCAUGUUUUGUCAGUACUUAUGCCAUCUAUGCACGGUAAAAAAUCAUAUAUUUUAAAUUAUUUUGUAAACGACUACAGUUAAGACUACGGUUAUUAUGAACCAAUAAUAGCACGUUUAAUACUCUUUCAAACGACACCUCACAUGAACCGAUCGGUCCCAUA
Molecule: long non-coding RNA, 1643 nt
Organism: Cydia fagiglandana
Lineage: Eukaryota; Metazoa; Arthropoda; Insecta; Lepidoptera; Tortricidae
Exons: 2
Source: RefSeq, a predicted model, not a curated record